RNAcentral lists this long non-coding RNA (261 nucleotides) under Elaeis guineensis (African oil palm). RNAcentral describes it as "long non-coding RNA (EGUI_LNC065352)". The record is from RNAcentral. Lineage: Eukaryota; Viridiplantae; Streptophyta; Magnoliopsida; Arecales; Arecaceae.
CUUGUUGAGGCAGAGAACUGACUUGAGCGUCGGAGGAUCUUGCUGGAGCAACCCCAACUCUGGUUUAGACUUCUCUUGCAGGUCCCGGCGGCGACCACAACUCCCUGGACUCCAACUUCUCCGAUGCAAGUAGAUUUUUGCACCAACAGGAUUGGCGCUAGAGGAAGGGCCGUGUCUUCGUAGUACCCUUGUUCUUAAAGGAGCGCUCAACGGGACCGCCUCCGGUCAUCUUUUCUGAUGCCCUCUCGUCCUUCCCCCACU